This 394-nucleotide ribosomal RNA is filed under the name Halopseudomonas litoralis. Its description in RNAcentral is "bacterial SSU rRNA". It matches the Rfam family "Bacterial small subunit ribosomal RNA", at positions 836 to 1229 of the family's 1533-position model. The record is from RNAcentral. Lineage: Bacteria; Pseudomonadati; Pseudomonadota; Gammaproteobacteria; Pseudomonadales; Pseudomonadaceae.
GAGCUUUGUGGCGCAGCUAACGCACUAAGUUGUCCGCGUGGGGAGUACGGUCGCAAGAUUAAAACUCAAAGAAUUGACGGGGGCCCGCACAAGCGGUGGAGCAUGUGGUUUAUUUCGAAGCAACGCGAAGAGCAUUUCCUGCCCUCGACAUGCUGAGAGAUUUUCAGAGAGAUAUUGUUGCCCUCUGGAGCUCUGACACACAUGUUGCACAGCGGUGUUCUCAUCUCGUCUUGAGAUAUUGGGGUAUAUCUCCCAACGAGAGCACCCCUUGUCUCCUAUUUACCACCACAUUUUGGUGGGCACUCUAAGGAGACUGCCGGUGACAAACCGGAGGAAGGUGGGGAUGACGUCAAGUCAUCAUGGCCCUUACGGCCAGGGCUACACACGUGCUACA